AUGAACGCUAGCUACAGGCUUAACACAUGCAAGUCGAGGGGCAGCAUGGUCUUAGCUUGCUAAGGCCGAUGGCGACCGGCGCACGGGUGAGUAACACGUAUCCAACCUGCCGUCUACUCUUGGACAGCCUUCUGAAAGGAAGAUUAAUACAAGAUGGCAUCAUGAGUCCACAUGUUCACAUGAUUAAAGGUAUUCCGGUAGACGAUGGGGAUGCGUUCCAUUAGAUAGUAGGCGGGGUAACGGCCCACCUAGUCUUCGAUGGAUAGGGGUUCUGAGAGGAAGGUCCCCCACAUUGGAACUGAGACACGGUCCAAACUCCUACGGGAGGCAGCAGUGAGGAAUAUUGGUCAAUGGGCGAGAGCCUGAACCAGCCAAGUAGCGUGAAGGAUGACUGCCCUAUGGGUUGUAAACUUCUUUUAUAAAGGAAUAAAGUCGGGUAUGCAUACCCGUUUGCAUGUACUUUAUGAAUAAGGAUCGGCUAACUCCGUGCCAGCAGCCGCGGUAAUACGGAGGAUCCGAGCGUUAUCCGGAUUUAUUGGGUUUAAAGGGAGCGUAGAUGGAUGUUUAAGUCAGUUGUGAAAGUUUGCGGCUCAACCGUAAAAUUGCAGUUGAUACUGGAUAUCUUGAGUGCAGUUGAGGCAGGCGGAAUUCGUGGUGUAGCGGUGAAAUGCUUAGAUAUCACGAAGAACUCCGAUUGCGAAGGCAGCCUGCUAAGCUGCAACUGACAUUGAGGCUCGAAAGUGUGGGUAUCAAACAGGAUUAGAUACCCUGGUAGUCCACACGGUAAACGAUGAAUACUCGCUGUUUGCGAUAUACGGCAAGCGGCCAAGCGAAAGCGUUAAGUAUUCCACCUGGGGAGUACGCCGGCAACGGUGAAACUCAAAGGAAUUGACGGGGGCCCGCACAAGCGGAGGAACAUGUGGUUUAAUUCGAUGAUACGCGAGGAACCUUACCCGGGCUUAAAUUGCAGAUGAAUUACGGUGAAAGCCGUAAGCCGCAAGGCAUCUGUGAAGGUGCUGCAUGGUUGUCGUCAGCUCGUGCCGUGAGGUGUCGGCUUAAGUGCCAUAACGAGCGCAACCCUUGUUGUCAGUUACUAACAGGUUCCGCUGAGGACUCUGACAAGACUGCCAUCGUAAGAUGUGAGGAAGGUGGGGAUGACGUCAAAUCAGCACGGCCCUUACGUCCGGGGCUACACACGUGUUACAAUGGGGGGUACAGAGGGCCGCUACCACGCGAGUGGAUGCCAAUCCCCAAAACCUCUCUCAGUUCGGACUGGAGUCUGCAACCCGACUCCACGAAGCUGGAUUCGCUAGUAAUCGCGCAUCAGCCACGGCGCGGUGAAUACGUUCCCGGGCCUUGUACACACCGCCCGUCAAGCCAUGGGAGCCGGGGGUACCUGAAGUGCGUAACCGCGAGGAGCGCCCUAGGGUAAAACUGGUGACUGGGG
Molecule: ribosomal RNA, 1447 nt
Filed under: uncultured organism
Description: SSU rRNA
Rfam family: Bacterial small subunit ribosomal RNA
Source: RNAcentral